GAGAGAGGUCCGACGGCCGUAGAAACUGCUAAUCUCCUACCCCCGGGGUUUGACCCCCCGGCUCUCUCG
This 69-nucleotide transfer RNA is filed under the name Diplophos taenia (Pacific portholefish). RNAcentral's name for it is "tRNA-Ser (AGY)". The record is from RNAcentral. Lineage: Eukaryota; Metazoa; Chordata; Actinopteri; Stomiiformes; Diplophidae.